This 479-nucleotide long non-coding RNA is filed under the name Junco hyemalis (dark-eyed junco). RNAcentral describes it as "lncRNA (ENSJHYG00000001543.1)". Lineage: Eukaryota; Metazoa; Chordata; Aves; Passeriformes; Passerellidae. The record is from RNAcentral.
CCACGCUGUCUUCGUGGAAAUAAACACCUCCCUGCCACAGGUGCUAAUGAGGCUUCAUCUCUUUGGCUCAGGGAGCUGCCUCAGGAGCCCUGGCAAACCCCUCGGCCUGCCUGCAGCCAAGGAAGGAGCAGCCACAGCUUAGCGCUGCUGGAAAGUAAUGAGGAGUGAGGUCAACCUGCCCAGCCCACGGGACAACUCACAGCUCGGCAUUAGAAAAGACACAGGCGAAGAUUUUUGAAAGUAUUUUCUGCUGAUAACGAAAAGGUUCCCACAGCCUUGCAGAGGAGGCAUCAGAACAGCACAAGCAAAUGUGUUUACAGCUUCACGCUUAAAUUUGAAACGUGUUUCUAACCUGACAUCUGUGUAUUUUCAGCCCUUUCCAAAGCUCUUGUUUUACUUUCUAUGGCUUCUGCUUCAUUAUUCUAAUUUAAUAAAGCCGCAGUGAAGGCAGAGUGCCGACUCUUUGUGGCUAAUGAAAG